UAUAAUUUUACCAUAUUAUUUUAAGCGACAUAUGAGGUGGAUAUACAUGUAAUCUGUGUUUGGGAUCAUUCCCCCGGGAGUCUUUUUGGUGGGACCAACACAGGUAUUUACUUGGAAAUUUUUGAGAGACCAUAUAACCUUAUGCAUGCUUGCUGGACAUUAAGCGAUAAUACAAUUAUAUAAAUAUGUAUGUUAUCAUGAUGAUUGAAGAGUUACUCCAGUUGAGAUCCUAACAAUAAACAAUAUGCUUGAUAUGAAAAAAAAAAAUACGCUCCUGUUACAUUGUAUAAGACUGGCUGAUAUCCGUGGACAAACCCCUUAGGUCUUUUGUACAUUUUGUUAUAACAUUAUGAAGCAAAGAAGCAAAGUUGGUAAGAAUUUAAGAAGGACUUAGCUGACUGAAGGUCAAGGUCACUGGGUCAGAGACUAAGGUCAAUCUGACUGAAGGUCAAGGUCACUGGGUCAGAGACCAAGGUCACAUUUUUAUGUUAAUUAUCUGAUUAAAAUUUUGUGAUGCAAUUAUGAAGUAAAAUUAGUUGGAAUCAAACAAGGAAUCAACUGUCCAAAGAUCAAGGUCACUAGGUCAAAAGUAAAGGACGUUUUGUCAAAAAGGUCAAGGACAAAGUGGAUGUCUGAAUGACCCUUGUUCCUAGUGGGAGUCAUAUUAAGGAUUAAAAUAAAACAAAUCAAAACCAACAAAAGAGUUUUAUACAGGUAUUUCAAUUUCUGUUAGCCCAGCAUAUAUGGAGGUGGAUGUAUAUAACGUAUAUUUUGCUCUCAUGUCACAAGAUGGGGCCUUUGAUGACAUCUCAGUGUUCUAGCUUUAUUUUGAAUUUGAUCCAGAAAACAACAUGGCUGACAGUUUAAGUUUUGUAUUAAGAUUUCUGAUUCACAGAAAGUUCUUUCUAAAUAACUCCUAGAUUUCAUAUGUAUAUGUUCCCCUUGUCUCAAGCUUCAUAUGUGUGUUUCCUUGGUCCCCGGUUGUGUCCAAUUGGUUUUGAGUCUGAUCCAAAAAUCAAAACUGUUGACAGUUGAAGUUAAGCAUUACUAUUUCUAAUUCACAGAAAAUUCUUCUCUAAGAUGUCUCUUAGAUCACAUAUGUAGGCUUCCUUGUUAUCAGAUCAUAAAAGUAGAGAAAAGAUCAUAUAUAGAACAAAUAAAGAUCAUUCAAUUUUGGAUCUCUUGUAAUAAGUUUUAAAAUGUCAGUUGUAAAGUCUUUGAAUAUCUAGUUCCAUAUAGUGAUAGCAUGGCUUGUCUCUUGCACAGUUUCUGUUGUGACCUCUUGUUCCAUGAUAGACAGUUGUUUGGAACAUUUUGUCAUACUUCACAAUGUCAAUGUUACUUAGUAUUUUGAAAAGUUCUAUGAUAAUGUUCUGAAUGUAAGUGAUGAGCUGACUUCUCUAAGCAAAGUGUUUAUAUCAGCUUAUCCUAAAGGUGAUGUUCAGCCAUGCGUGACUACAAUCGGCGUAGUCUACACUUGCCAUUGUUGUACAUUAUACUUGUGUAUAUAUCAUAUUCUGUCUUUCUUCAUAACAAUAUCUGCAUGCUCUCUGCUGUAUUCCAGGGAAAGAAGUCCAUAGAUUUCUUCGUACAUUUAUCGACCAAUAUCUUUGAAACUUGAAAGGCUUUAUAACCAUGAUUAAUAGUUUUGUUUCUCUGAGAGGCAUUUUGAUUUGACUUUUUUUUUUGCAAAUUUAUGGCCCUUUGGUUAUUCCUGAAUUAGAUUUUUGUCUACAUUUUUCAAUGAUUUCUUAAAAAAACUUGAUAGGCUUUAUAAUCAUGAUAUCAAGUUGUUUUCAAUUGAAGACUAGUGAAAGUAAAGAUGAGGGUUAAAUCAUGCAACCUAUACAUAUAACUUCUAUAAGAUGAUGCAAAUCUUAUUUCAUUGCAAGAUAGUAUACAACACCAUAGGCCAUUUGUCAGGCCUUUACUCUUGUUGUCAUUGCAUGUGACCAUAUAGGUGAUACAUAUUUCAGAUACAAUCUUACUUAUGUCUUUUGUAAAGCUGUAUGGACAUCUUACAUUAUCCAUGAAAGUGAAAGUUCUGAACAUUAAACCAAGGUUUCUGUUAGCUUUGGACACCACUUUAGCUAUAUGCUCAUUGAAAUUCAAUUUGUUGUAAACUAACAGUACAUGACCAAGAUCUUAUUCACUUUCAGUGGUGGUAAUUUGUUAUUUGGUUAUCCUACUUGAUAGUGUAGAUUACAGGUCGUUGAGAUGCCCAAUCCUCAUGUGUUUACAUUUUCUAGGUUUAGAUUCAUCUGCCAUUUUUCUGUUGACUCCCAGGGUGCGUCUAAAUGUACGUUGUUAAUUACUCUCUUACUAUGUCAAACAAAAUUAUAUGUACAGUGUAUAAAGGUAUGUAGAGAAAUUUUCAGUACAUGUACAUAUUAGUAUUGCUAUGGAAAAUUUAUCAACAAAUAGUCUAUUACCCCUUCAGUACUAUUAUAGGGGACUCUACUGGAAAGACAACAGGUUUGUGGUUAGUCUGCCAUCAGUACUACUGGAGGGGACUACAGGUUUGUGGUUAGUCUCCCAUCAGUACUACUGGAGGGGACAACAGGUUUGUGGUUAGUCUGCCAUCAGUACUACUGGAGGGAAUAACAGGUUUGUGGUAAGUCUCCCAUCAGUACUACUGGAGGGGACAACAGGUUUGUGGUUAGUCUCCCAUCAGUACUACUGGAGGGGACUAUAGGUUUGUGGUUAGUCUCCCAUCAGUACUACUGGAGGGGACAACAGGUUUGUAGUUAGUCUGCCAUCAGUACUACUGGAGGGGACAACAGGUUUGUGGUUAGUCUCCCAUCAGUACUACUGGAGGGGACAACAUGUUUGUGGUUAGUCUCCCAUCAGUACUACUGGAGGGGACAACAGGUUUGUGGUUAGUCUCCCAUCAGUACUACUGGAGGGGACAACAGGUUUGUGGUUAGUCUCCCAUCAGUACUACUGGAGGGGACAACAGGUUUGUGGUUAGUCUCCCAUCAGUACUACUGGAGGGGACAACAGGUUUGUGGUUAGUCUCCCAUCAGUACUACUGGAGGGGACAACAGGUUUGUGGUUAGUCUCCCAUCAGUACUACUGGAGGGGACAACAGGUUUGUGGUUAGUCUCCCAUCAGUACGUGUACUACUGGAGGGGACAACAGGUUUGUGGUUAGUCUCCCAUCAGUACUACUGGAGGGGACAACAGGUUUGUAGUUAGUCUGCCAUCAGUACUACUGGAGGGGACAACAGGUUUGUAGUUAGUCUGCCAUCAGUACUACUGGAGGGGACAACAGGUUUGUAGUUAGUCUGCCAUCAGUACUACUGGAGGGGACAACAGGUUUGUGGUUAGUCUACCAUCAGUACUACUGGAGGGGACUAUAGGUUUGUGGUUAGUCUGCCAUCAGUACUACUGGAGGGGACAACAGGUUUGUGGUUAGUCUUCCAUCAGUACUACUGGAGGGGACAACAGGUUUGUGGUUAGUCUGCCAUCAGUACUACUGGAGGGGACAACAGGUUUGUGGUUAGUCUUCCAUCAGUACUACUGGAGGGGACAACAGGUUUGUGGUUAGUCUGCCAUCAGUACUACUGGAGGGGACAACAGGUUUGUGGGUAGUCUGCCAUCAGUACUACUGGAGGGGACAACAGGUUUGUGGUUAGUCUGCCAUCAGUACUACUGGAGGGGACAACAGGUUUGUGGUUAGUCUACCAUCAGUACUACUGGAGGGGACAACAGGUUUGUGGUUAGUCUGCCAUUAGUACUACUGGAGGGGACUACAUGUUUGUGGUUAGUCUCCCAUCAGUACUACUGGAGGGGACAACAGGUUUGUGGUUAGUCUGCCAUCAGUACUACUGGAGGGGACAACAGGUUUGUGGUUAGUCUGCCAUCAGUACUACUGGAGGGGACAACAGGUUUGUGGUUAGUCUGCCAUCAGUACUACUGGAGGGGACAACAGGUUUGUGGUUAGUCUCCCAUCAGUACUACUGGAGGGGACUACAGGUUUGUGGUUAGUCUCCCAUCAGUACUACUGGAGGGGACAACAGGUUUGUGGUUAGUCUUCCAUCAGUACUACUGGAGGGGACUACAGGUUUGUGGUUAGUCUGCCAUCAGUACUACUGGAGGGGACUACAGGUUUGUGGUUAGUCUGCCAUCAGUACUACUGGAGGGGACAACAGGUU
Molecule: long non-coding RNA, 4156 nt
Organism: Pecten maximus
Lineage: Eukaryota; Metazoa; Mollusca; Bivalvia; Pectinida; Pectinidae
Exons: 2
Source: RefSeq, a predicted model, not a curated record